UACGUAGGGGGCAAGCGUUGUCCGGAAUCAUUGGGCGUAAAGAGCGUGUAGGUGGCUCGGUAAGUCCGCUGUGAAAGUCCAGGGCUCAACCCUGGAAAGCCGGUGGAAACUGUCGAGCUCGAGUCCGGAAGAGGCGAGUGGAAUUCCUGGUGUAGCGGUGAAAUGCGCAGAUAUCAGGAGGAACACCAAUGGCGAAGGCAGCUCGCUGGGACGUGACUGACGCUGAGACGCGAAAGCGUGGGGAGCAAACAGG
RNAcentral lists this ribosomal RNA (253 nucleotides) under uncultured bacterium. RNAcentral's name for it is "partial 16S ribosomal RNA". It matches the Rfam family "Bacterial small subunit ribosomal RNA", at positions 524 to 776 of the family's 1533-position model. The record is from RNAcentral.